Molecule: ribosomal RNA, 253 nt
Filed under: uncultured bacterium
Lineage: Bacteria
Description: partial 16S ribosomal RNA
Rfam family: Bacterial small subunit ribosomal RNA
Source: RNAcentral
UACAGAGGGGGCAAGCGUUGUUCGGAAUUACUGGGCGUAAAGGGCGCGUAGGCGGCCUGUUAAGUCGAACGUGAAAUCCCCGGGCUCAACCCGGGAACUGCGUCCGAUACUGGCAGGCUUGAAUCCGGGAGAGGGAUGUGGAAUUCCAGGUGUAGCGGUGAAAUGCGUAGAUAUUCGGAGGAACACCAGUGGCGAAGGCGGCUCACUGGUCCAUUACUGACGCUGAGGUGCGAAAGCGUGGGGAGCAAACAGG